This 161-nucleotide ribosomal RNA is filed under the name Beauveria bassiana. RNAcentral describes it as "5.8S ribosomal RNA". It matches the Rfam family "5.8S ribosomal RNA". Rfam says of the family: 5.8S ribosomal RNA (5.8S rRNA) is a component of the large subunit of the eukaryotic ribosome. It is transcribed by RNA polymerase I as part of the 45S precursor that also contains 18S and 28S rRNA. Lineage: Eukaryota; Fungi; Ascomycota; Sordariomycetes; Hypocreales; Cordycipitaceae. The record is from RNAcentral.
AAAACUUUCAACAACGGAUCUCUUCGGCUCUGGCAUCGAUGAAGAACGCAGCGAAAUGCGAUAAGUAAUGUGAAUUGCAGAAUCCAGUGAAUCAUCGAAUCUUUGAACGCACAUUGCGCCCGCCAGCAUUCUGGCGGGCAUGCCUGUUCGAGCGUCAUUUC